Molecule: ribosomal RNA, 468 nt
Filed under: uncultured bacterium
Lineage: Bacteria
Description: partial 16S ribosomal RNA
Rfam family: Bacterial small subunit ribosomal RNA
Source: RNAcentral
GACGAACGCUGGCGGCGUGCUUAACACAUGCAAGUCGAACGGCAAGGCCCUGCUUUUUUGGUGUUCUCGAGUGCCGAUCGGGUGAGUAACACGUGAGUAUCCUGCUCUUCACUUUGGUAUAACUUCAGGUAACUGGGGCUACUAUCGUAUAGCAUCUCCUGCUGCGUGGUGGGGGUUGGAUAGUUUCGGCGGUUGGGGAUGGACUCGCGGCUUAUCAGCUUGUUGGUUGGGUAGUGGCUUACCAAGGCUUUGACGGGUAGCCGGCCUGAGAGGGUGACCGGCCACAUGGGGACUGAGAUACGGCCCAGACUCCUACGGGAGGCAGCAGUGGGGAAUAUUGCACAAUGGGCGGAAGCCUGAUGCAGAAACGCCGCGUGCGGGAUGACGGCCUUCGGGUUGUAAACCGCUUUCGCCUGUGACGAAGCGUGAGUGACGGUAAUGGGUAAAGAAGCACCGGCUAACUACGUG